This 304-nucleotide ribosomal RNA is filed under the name uncultured bacterium. RNAcentral's name for it is "partial 16S ribosomal RNA". It matches the Rfam family "Bacterial small subunit ribosomal RNA", at positions 506 to 807 of the family's 1533-position model. The record is from RNAcentral.
CAGCAGCCGCCGCGGUAAUACGAAGGGGGCUAGCGUUGCUCGGAAUCACUGGGCGUAAAGGGUGCGUAGGCGGGUCUUUAAGUCAGGGGUGAAAUCCUGGAGCUCAACUCCAGAACUGCCUUUGAUACUGAAGAUCUUGAGUUCGGGAGAGGUGAGUGGAACUGCGAGUGUAGAGGUGAAAUUCGUAGAUAUUCGCAAGAACACCAGUGGCGAAGGCGGCUCACUGGCCCGAUACUGACGCUGAGGCACGAAAGCGUGGGGAGCAAACAGGAUUAGAUACCCGCGUAGUCCCUGUCUCUUAUAC